Molecule: long non-coding RNA, 1874 nt
Organism: Planococcus citri (citrus mealybug)
Lineage: Eukaryota; Metazoa; Arthropoda; Insecta; Hemiptera; Pseudococcidae
Exons: 2
Source: RefSeq, a predicted model, not a curated record
AAAACAUAAUGUCUGCACUAUACGAAAUUGUCAUUUAACUCAUAAGAAAGAUUAGCUGUUCAUUUCAUUUUAUUAUAAAGUGUCAUUUCUAUUAAUAAGUUGUGCUGUUCAACCGAAAAUUUUGCUCGUAUAGGUAGGGAACCUGUGCCAGAAAGAUUCGUUGAAAUACAUACAUGGAUACUUUUCUACUCUAACUUUUUUGUAAACCAGUUUCAAGGAGCCAAAUGACGAAAUAAUACGUUUCUAUACUCUCAUUCAAAUCAAUCAAAAAUGCAUUUCUUGAACCAAUCACCAAUCAAAUGGUUUUCAAAUUUUUUAAUGCUCCUAAUCUACUUACGAUCAGUAAAAAAUGUUGAAUUGCCAUCUACCCAAGUUAAAGUAUUCUCUGAUGACGAUAGCUCAGCACAAUUUAAUAAUCUGGCUAUUCGCUAUUCCGAAUUUGAAUGUGGGCAUGAUUCAAUUUUUAUUGGAGCUGUCAAUCGUUUAUAUCAAUUAUCACUCGAUCUAGAACUAUUGGCAAAUAUUACAACCGGGCCAUUCCUUACACAUAAUAACGAAUGGAUGAAAAAUUAUAAUAAAAUUUUGGUGAUAAACGAUGAAGACGACAGUUUGAUAACUUGUGGAACCGUAUCAAUGUGCACCAUUUACAAUUUACACCGAAACGAUAUCAUUUGCGAAUCAAAUUCGAGAAAAGUAAUUCAACCAGUUGUGACAAAUGACGAAAAUGCAUCAACUGUAGCUUUCAUGGCAACGACUCAUAUAUAUGUGCCUCUAUUCCGCGAAGAUGCAUUAAAGAAGCGACUUCGGAUUUUUCAAUCGAAUCUUGGUUAUUUUUCAAACGGAACUGAGCAACUGGAAGUACCAGCUAUGGCUGUAAGAAAUAUCAAUACUCUUGAGGCAUACCAAUCCUUUUUUUUCUCUGAAUUUUUUCGCAAUGACUACAUCGUCGAAUAUGUUUAUGGAUUUCCAUCUGGGAAAAACAAAAUGUACCUUUUAACAAUUCAACAAAAUUCUAGUACAACGCGACCAUCUCCGUACAUUUCAAAAUUGAUUAAAACAUGUGCUCAAGGUUCUCUUUUAGGGGGCUACGUGGAGAUGCCAAUUAGGUGCACUGUAAAAGGAAACCUGCGUUAUAAUUUGCUACAAGCCGCAUAUGUUGGUAAAGCUGGUACCAAGCUGGCCGAGUCGAUGAAUAUUCAUCACGAUGACGACGUUCUGUUCGCGAUAUUCUCUCCGAGCCGAGACUUUUACUCAAAAAAACCUCUUGAGCGAAGUGCUCUAUGCAUUUAUUCGUUAAAAGCCGUUGACCAGAAAGUUGAUGAAAAUGUUCAGAACUGUGCAAAAGGAAGUAAAAAAUUAGGGCUGCCGUUUUUAUUUUCUGCAGCAAUAUGCUUCCGAUUAAUAGAAGAGCUACCGUGCACUGAUUACUGCCAACAAUACGCAAACGGGCCUGUCGAUGGAAGACUGCCUUUAAAAAUGCAUGCUGCAUUAACUUUCGAAACACGUAUCACAGCAAUUGCAGUAAGGUCCAGCAAAAACCGAACUGAUGUUUUCGUUGGUACGAGUACUGGCCAUUUGAAAACGAUCGCCGUGGAGAAUUUUACUUACGCGUAUGAACAUGGAGACGUUACUAUAGAUCAAGACUCUCCUGUUAAUAAAGAUAUGAUUUUUUCUUCGAAAGAAGAUUACUUGUUUGUAAUGACCAAACGUAAGCUCACCAAAGUUGAUUUACGCGCGACCUUUUUAGAACCUAAUACAGGUACUUAAAUUAGUGAAAAUAUUGUAAUCGUGGACUGAUACGUAGGAAAUAGGUAUAGGUACAAGUGAUAAGAUUGAUGUUGAAAAAAAAAUAAACACUUUUUCUGUAACUUCAA